GGCUGGUCUGAAGGUCGUGAGUUAUCUCAAUUGAUAGUCCAGUCAGUUACAGAUUGAACUCCUUGUUCUACGCCUCCCCCUCCUCACUACUGCACUUAACUAGCCUUAA
This 109-nucleotide Y RNA is filed under the name Cebus imitator (Panamanian white-faced capuchin). Its description in RNAcentral is "Y RNA (ENSCCAG00000007862.1)". It matches the Rfam family "Y RNA". From Rfam's summary of the family: Y RNAs are components of the Ro ribonucleoprotein particle (Ro RNP), in association with Ro60 and La proteins. The Y RNAs and Ro60 and La proteins are well conserved, but the function of the Ro RNP is not known. The record is from Rfam by way of RNAcentral. Lineage: Eukaryota; Metazoa; Chordata; Mammalia; Primates; Cebidae.